This 465-nucleotide ribosomal RNA is filed under the name Vreelandella stevensii. Its description in RNAcentral is "partial 16S ribosomal RNA". It matches the Rfam family "Bacterial small subunit ribosomal RNA", at positions 338 to 795 of the family's 1533-position model. Lineage: Bacteria; Pseudomonadati; Pseudomonadota; Gammaproteobacteria; Oceanospirillales; Halomonadaceae. The record is from RNAcentral.
CCUACGGGCGGCAGCAGUGGGGAAUAUUGGACAAUGGGGGGAACCCUGAUCCAGCCAUGCCGCGUGUGUGAAGAAGGCCCUCGGGUUGUAAAGCACUUUCAGUGAGGAAGAACGCCUGGUGGUUAAUACCCAUCAGGAAAGACAUCACUCACAGAAGAAGCACCGGCUGACUCCGUGCCAGCAGCCGCGGUAAUACGGAGGGUGCGAGCGUUAAUCGGAAUUACUGGGCGUAAAGCGCGCGUAGGUGGCUUGAUAAGCCGGUUGUGAAAGCCCCGGGCUCAACCUGGGAACGGCAUCCGGAACUGUCAAGCUAGAGUGCAGGAGAGGAAGGUAGAAUUCCCGGUGUAGCGGUGAAAUGCGUAGAGAUCGGGAGGAAUACCAGUGGCGAAGGCGGCCUUCUGGACUGACACUGACACUGAGGUGCGAAAGCGUGGGUAGCAAACAGGAUUAGAUACCCCAGUAGUC